GUUAAGCCUGACCCCACUCCAAAAAUUUCUAAUGUUCCCACCAAUUAUCUGAUGCGGUCGUUGAAAGCACCAAAAAUAUCCUAUCCCUAAUAAAUAAUGAAAAAGAAUAGUAAAAGGGAAGUAGGGUCAAAUCCUUAGGGACUGGAUUUGCACAAUGUCUUGUUCCGUGAAAUCCUAGGUAGAAUCUUGCCCAAAAAAACCUACGUUCCUGGAAAAAGAAAAAGAAAA
RNAcentral lists this long non-coding RNA (228 nucleotides) under Gossypium raimondii (Peruvian cotton). RNAcentral's name for it is "long non-coding RNA (GRAI_LNC002703)". The record is from RNAcentral. Lineage: Eukaryota; Viridiplantae; Streptophyta; Magnoliopsida; Malvales; Malvaceae.